Molecule: ribosomal RNA, 213 nt
Filed under: Triticum aestivum (bread wheat)
Lineage: Eukaryota; Viridiplantae; Streptophyta; Magnoliopsida; Poales; Poaceae
Description: partial small subunit ribosomal RNA
Source: RNAcentral
GGGUUCAUAUUUGUUGCAUUUGGCAUUAUAUUAUUUGUGGGAUUCUUCUACACCACCGUUGUGUCCAAAAUGCUUCCGCCUUACAAUAACCGGCUUCCGCCUGCCAUCCAAAAUGACAGGCAUUACUGCCUACUUGUGCCCAUGACACUUCCUGUGAUAAUCGUGUCUGUCUAUCUGCAUUGGCUAAGCAUGAAGAUGGUCAAGGAUGCCUGA